RNAcentral lists this ribosomal RNA (468 nucleotides) under uncultured bacterium. Its description in RNAcentral is "partial 16S ribosomal RNA". It matches the Rfam family "Bacterial small subunit ribosomal RNA", at positions 28 to 507 of the family's 1533-position model. The record is from RNAcentral.
GACGAACGCUGGCGGCGUGCUUAACACAUGCAAGUCGAACGGAAAGGCCCUGCUUUUGUGGGGUGCUCGAGUGGCGAACGGGUGAGUAACACGUGAGUAACCUGCCCUUGACUUUGGGAUAACUUCAGGAAACUGGGGCGAAUACCGGAUAGGAGCUCCUGCUGCAUGGUGGGGGUUGGAAAGUUUCGGCGGUUGGGGAUGGACUCGCGGCUUAUCAGCUUGUUGGUGGGGUAGUGGCUUACCAAGGCUUUGACGGGUAGCCGGCCUGAGAGGGUGACCGGCCACAUUGGGACUGAGAUACGGACCAGACUCCUACGGGAGGCAGCAGUGGGGAAUAUUGCACAAUGGGCGGAAGCCUGAUGCAGCAACGCCGCGUGCGGGAUGACGGCCUUCGGGUUGUAAACCGCUUUCGCCGGUGACGAAGCGUGAGUGACGGUAAUGGGUAAAGAAGCAACGGCUAACUACGUG